RNAcentral lists this ribosomal RNA (369 nucleotides) under uncultured bacterium. RNAcentral's name for it is "bacterial SSU rRNA". It matches the Rfam family "Bacterial small subunit ribosomal RNA", at positions 527 to 896 of the family's 1533-position model. The record is from RNAcentral.
GUAGGGUGCAAGCGUUAAUCGGAAUUACUGGGCGUAAAGCGUGCGCAGGCGGUUAUGUAAGACAGAUGUGAAAUGCCCGGGCUUAACCUGGGAACUGCAUUUGUGACUGCAUGGCUAGAGUGUGUCAGAGGGGGGUAGAAUUCCACGUGUAGCAGUGAAAUGCGUAGAUAUGUGGAGGAAUACCGAUGGCGAAGGCAGCCCCCUGGGAUAACACUGACGCUCAUGCACGGAAGCGUGGGGAGCAAACAGGAUUAGAUACCCUGGUAGUCCACGCCCUAAACGAUGUCAACUAGUUGUCGGGUCUUAAUUGACUUGGUAACGCAGCUAACGCGUGAAGUUGACCGCCUGGGGAGUACGGUCGCAAGAUUA